GAUAAACGCUGGCGGCGCACAUAAGACAUGCAAGUCGAACGAACUUAAUCCAUUCUUUUAGAUUGGAAGCGGUUAGUGGCGGACUGGUGAGUAACGCGUGAGCAACCUGCCUAUUAGAGGGGAAUAACAGUGAGAAAUCAUUGCUAAUACCGCAUAUGCUCACAGCACCACAUGGUGCAGUGAGGAAAGGAGCAAUCCGCUAAUAGAUGGGCUCGCGUCUGAUUAGCUAGUUGGUGGGGUAACGGCCUACCAAGGCGACGAUCAGUAGCCGGACUGAGAGGUUGAACGGCCACAUUGGGACUGAGAUACGGCCCAGACUCCUACGGGAGGCAGCAGUCGGGAAUAUUGCGCAAUGGAGGAAACUCUGACGCAGUGACGCCGCGUAUGGGAAGAAGGUUUUCGGAUUGUAAACCAUUGUCGUUAGGGAAGAAGAAGUGACAGUACCUAAGGAGGAAGCUCCGGCUAACUAUGUGCCAGCAGCCGCGGUAAUACAUAGGGAGCAAGCGUUAUCCGGAUUUAUUGGGUGUAAAGGGUGCGUAGACGGGAAUUUAAGUUGGUUGUGAAAUCCCUCGGCUCAACUGAGGAACUGCAACCAAAACUGGAUUUCUUGAGUACUGGAGAGGAAAGUGGAAUUCCUAGUGUAGCGGUGAAAUGCGUAGAUAUUAGGAGGAACACCAGUGGCGAAGGCGACUUUCUGGACAGUAACUGACGUUGAGGCACGAAAGUGUGGGGAGCAAACAGGAUUAGAUACCCUGGUAGUCCACACCGUAAACGAUGGAUACUAGGUGUAGGGUUUAAUAAAGACUCUGUGCCGUCGCAAACGCAAUAAGUAUCCCACCUGGGGAGUACGACCGCAAGGUUGAAACUCAAAGGAAUUGACGGGGGCCCGCACAAGCAGUGGAGUAUGUGGUUUAAUUCGAAGCAACGCGAAGAACCUUACCAGGGCUUGACAUAUACAUGACAGCUCAAGAGAUUGAGUCUCUCUUCGGAGCAUGUAUACAGGUGGUGCAUGGUUGUCGUCAGCUCGUGUCGUGAGAUGUUGGGUUAAGUCCCGCAACGAGCGCAACCCCUAUUUCUAGUUGCCAGCACGUAAUGGUGGGAACUCUAGAGAGACUGCCGGUGAUAAAUCGGAGGAAGGUGGGGAUGACGUCAAAUCAUCAUGCCCUUUAUGUCCUGGGCUACACACGUACUACAAUGGUCGUAACAGAGGGAAGCGAAAUAGUGAUAUGGAGCAAAACCCCAAAAGCGGUCUCAGUUCGGAUUGAAGGCUGAAAUUCGCCUUCAUGAAGCCGGAAUUGCUAGUAAUGGCAGGUCAGCAUACUGCCGUGAAUACGUUCCCGGGCCUUGUACACACCGCCCGUCACACCAUGAGAGUUGGGAAUACCCGAAGCCUGUGAGCUAACCGUAAGGGAGCAGCAGUCGAAGGUAGAAUCAAUGAUUGGGGUGAAGUCGUAACAAGGUAGCCGUAUCGGAAGGUGCGGCUGGAUCACCUCCUUUCUAAGGAGAAAGAAAUACUUGAAGAGAAUUUAUUGUUUAUUUUUUAAUGUACUUUCUUAGUACAUUCAUAUUUAUAAAGAGUGAAGCUCAUACAAAAGAAUUGAAACAGAAAAACUCUAAUAUGGGCUCAUAGCUCAGAUGGUUAGAGCGCACGCCUGAUAAGCGUGAGGUCGAUGGUUCGAUUCCAUUUGAGCCCACCACUAGAUGAAAAGAUCUAGAAAAGCACAUUGAAAAAUAUAUAGAUAAUGCGAAAAAAUUGAUAGGUAAAACUAGCAUACUAGAAAUAGUAUGUAACAAUUAAACCGAGAAAAAGAGAACAGAAAUGUUUGAAAACCGAAAAGGUUAAGCUACAAAGAGCGUAGGGUGAAUGCCUAGGCACCAAGAGCCGAAGAAGGACGUGAUAAGCUGCGAAAAGCCAUGGGGAGAAGCAAAUAUUCAUUAAUCCAUGGAUAUCCGAAUGGGGAAACCCGACUAGUAGAAAUUGACUAGUCAUCCGUACAUGAGUAAAGUAGUGUGCGUGAAGGGAACGCAGGGAACUGAAACAUCUUAGUACCUGCAGGAAAAGAAAGAAAAAUCGAUUCUGUGAGUAGUGGCGAGCGAAAGCGGAAGAGCCUAAACCUAAGGUAGUAAUACUUUAGGGGUUUGGACUGCAUAAUUGAUUUAGUGAGAAUAAUAGAAUUAUUUGGAAAAGUAAACCAUAGAUAGUGAAAGUCUAGUAUAUGAAAUUCAAGCUAACAAGGCAGUAUCCAGAGUAGUGCAAGACACGUGGAAUCUUGUAUGAAUAAGCGAGGACCAUCUCGUAAGGCUAAAUACUACUUGGUGACCGAUAGUGGAGC
This 2333-nucleotide unclassified non-coding RNA is filed under the name uncultured Pseudoclostridium sp. Its description in RNAcentral is "partial contains 16S ribosomal RNA, 16S-23S ribosomal RNA intergenic spacer, and 23S ribosomal RNA". The stretch from base 1 to 1497 matches the Rfam family "Bacterial small subunit ribosomal RNA". The record is from RNAcentral. Lineage: Bacteria; Bacillati; Bacillota; Clostridia; Eubacteriales; Oscillospiraceae.